Ceratotherium simum simum (southern white rhinoceros) is the source of this 79-nucleotide non-coding RNA. Lineage: Eukaryota; Metazoa; Chordata; Mammalia; Perissodactyla; Rhinocerotidae. The record is from RefSeq and is a predicted model, not a curated record.
CAUAAGAUGUAGAGAGGAGUUAUAUCAUAAGCACACUUAACUUACAUUAAUUCAAUAUAUGAGGUCAGUGAAAAGGAAA